RNAcentral lists this ribosomal RNA (221 nucleotides) under uncultured Carnobacteriaceae bacterium. RNAcentral describes it as "partial 16S ribosomal RNA". It matches the Rfam family "Bacterial small subunit ribosomal RNA", at positions 120 to 334 of the family's 1533-position model. Lineage: Bacteria; Bacillati; Bacillota; Bacilli; Lactobacillales; Carnobacteriaceae. The record is from RNAcentral.
GGUAACCUGCCCAUCAGAGGGGGAUAACAUUCGGAAACGGAUGCUAAAACCGCAUAGGUCUUCGAACCGCAUGGUUUGAAGAGGAAAAGAGGCGCAAGCUUCUGCUGAUGGAUGGACCCGCGGUGCAUUAGCUAGUUGGUGAGGUAACGGCUCACCAAGGCCGUGAUGCAUAGCCGACCUGAGAGGGUGAUCGGCCACAUUGGGACUGAGACACGGCCCAA